GCAGGUACUGGAUUCAUAUCAACUCUAGUUCAUAAGAUCAAUCAACAAGGGUAAAAUCUCUCUUUAUAUACUCCAAGCAUGAGAAUGGUAGGUUCAGAAUAUUUUCCACUUCAAGGGAUUUAGAUAUCACAGUACUAGCAAUGGAAUCCCUACUAUAGUUUCUAUUAUUCAUCCCUAAACCUCUGCAUACAACCAUUGACGUAUUACACACCCAAGGAACUGAAACAGUGAAUACAAAACCACCUGAACCUUCUUUCCCACCACCAUAAUUUCCAUUUCCCACAAGAACAUCCUUGUAUGCUCGGCAAACUUUGGGAACUUGCAUACUCAUUGGCAGAAGUUGUUGAUAAAAAUAUGAAGCAGAUGGAUUUGGACUCAAGGCUUCAUAAUCUGCAUGAAGGUUCACCACAACAGUGCCAUGCUCAGGAUGCAGCCGUUUAUUUAGUGCUUGGAGAAAUGGGGAAUCUGCAUCCCAUAACUUGCGUGGGAAGAUGUCAUCACCAUCAUAAGCAUCGAUAAAAAUCAUAUCAUAUAUAUUGCUGCAGUUGUUGAGGACAAACUUCUCAGCAUCUGAUUCAUAGAGAUAAAGCCUCUCAUGGAUGCCUCUCCACAUUAUUUCAUCGAUUAUGUCAGGUUUUGAUAAAGCUCGCUGACCUGAUGAGGACAUAACUGAGAAAGCUGGAAAACCCAUUGCUUGGAUAGAAGCAGAUAUAACAAGAGGAUCAAUUUCUACCACAUCGAUGACAGCACCUGGCCUCUUUCUCAUGUUCCUUCUGCAUUUGUCACCCUGCAUAUGCAUGUACACAGAAAAAUAAGAUAUUACAAAAUGCAUAUGCAAGGCAGUUUAGACAGUGUUCGCUGCAUGAUAAGUACAGAUCAGUGAAGGCAGUCAUUUUGGUUUGCAGCAAUGAACAACUUCCAUCCCUGUUUAAUGAAAAAAAGCUGGGGGCCAGUGCAGCCUUCCUCCCACUAAUUUGCAACAAUAACAUUUGUAUAACACUACUUCAACUCCUGAUUAGCAACAAGUGAAUUUGUGUCCUUUGAUAACGAAAACAAAAAAACACAUACUGUAGGGAAAAGGAUAGUAUCGCACCUUGAAUUUUGCUAGCCAGAAACAAUGGUAAGCUUCCCCCACCAUGACCAAUGCAUAAAAUGCGCAUUUGUUUCUUCCCAUAUACAGCAUCCACAAAGUCAUAAUUACAGGAUGCUAUAGUAGUCAUCCCAACAGACACCAUGCUUUUCAGAUAUGGAACAGCUAAACAAUGUGCCUGCUGCAUUAGGAAUAUAGAAUUAGGUUCUGAUUGUUGGUAAGCUGCCAUCACUUUAGCAGUGCUUUGGCGUGUAUCAUCAUUAAAGCGAAGUGUGCGCCACUGAUAUCCAAGUAUCCGGAAACGUACAUUGUGUUCUUGACCUGGAUGUAUCUGGGCAUAACUUUGCUGAAGCCAUUUCUCAGUUUCUGGCCAGUGAAUCUCAUUCUGCAAAAUUUACAGCAAAACCAUUCAGUAAAUCCUUGUCAAUGGAAAACGUAUACUUCAGAAUAUAAGAGAUUUUGGACACAAGCAACAGCAUCGAUUGAACACAGGUUGAACAUAUUUAAGAAAACAGAAAAAGAAAAGGCCAUGAAUCAAUUAUGAUCCCAUCAAAGUAUGGUCCGAAAAGGAAACUUGGAGAGUAAUUUUGCAUAAAGAUCUUGAACGUGCACUGUAGCCAUUGCAGGCCCAAAGCUUCACUAAGUGUUAUCAAGAUUGCAAAACAUACGCCCUCCCCCCUUAAAAAGAAUGAUACCUACUCCCGUAUCACCAAUUAUCAGUUGCAGGCUCGCAGCAGACAAUAUGAAACUUCUUCAAGGACAAUAUGAAACUUCUUCAAGCACAAUAUGAUGCUUGAUAAUGGGAACAUGGCAAGGUUUUUUAACUACCUGGAGCUUUAGAAAUAAGAUUUGAGGCAGCGAUUUAGGGGAACCCUCCCUAAAGAUGAUCUUGGAUCAAGACCAGUUUUCAUUUAAAGAAUUGUUAUAGAAUUAAUAACCAUAGACGGGUAAAGAUGGCAGAGAGAGACUGACAGGUCUAGAAGAAGGAUAAGCGAGGACUGAGACGACGCCGUUUCCUUUAUCGGAAGUAGAACGUAGAACGGUAUGGCCAUCGGAAUCCGUACCCCACCACUCCGACGAAUAAAGCCAGUCACCCUCGUCCAGAACACGGCGAGUUGCCACCGUACAAAAUCGCCGGAUAUUCCAUCUCAAGUUCAACCCAGCUCCAGGCCACAUAAUCGAUAAUCCAAGACCAAAUAUAAAAUCCUAAAUCCCAAAAUUAAAGAUGCUUUCGCUUUCUUGCCUUCCUGCUAACGGCGGGUCUAUUUUCGAAAAUUGCUACGGUCCCUAAACCCUAAAAACU
Molecule: unclassified non-coding RNA, 2393 nt
Filed under: Hevea brasiliensis (rubber tree)
Lineage: Eukaryota; Viridiplantae; Streptophyta; Magnoliopsida; Malpighiales; Euphorbiaceae
Source: RNAcentral